UACGGAAGGCAGCAGUGGGGAAUAUUGCACAAUGGGCGCAAGCCUGAUGCAGCCAUGCCGCGUGUAUGAAAAAGGCCUUCGGGUUGUAAAGUACUUUCAGUCGUGAGGAAGGUGUUAAGGUUAAUAACCUUAGCAAUUGACGUUAGCGACAGAAGAAGCACCGGCUAACUCCGUGCCAGCAGCCGCGGUAAUACGGAGGGUGCGAGCGUUAAUCGGAAUUACUGGGCGUAAAGGGCACGCAGGCGGUUAAUUAAGUUGGAUGUGAAAUCCCCGGGCUUAACCUGGGAAUGGCAUUCAAGACUGGUUAGCUAGAGUCUUGUAGAGGGGGUAGAAUUCCAUGUGUAGCGGUGAAAUGCGUAGAGAUGUGGAGGAAUACCGGUGGCGAAGGCGGCCCCUGGACAAAGACUGACGCUCAUGUGCGAAAGCUGGGGAGCAAACAGGGAUUAGAUAC
This 451-nucleotide ribosomal RNA is filed under the name uncultured bacterium. RNAcentral's name for it is "bacterial SSU rRNA". It matches the Rfam family "Bacterial small subunit ribosomal RNA", at positions 340 to 785 of the family's 1533-position model. The record is from RNAcentral.